Molecule: long non-coding RNA, 76 nt
Organism: Maniola jurtina (meadow brown)
Lineage: Eukaryota; Metazoa; Arthropoda; Insecta; Lepidoptera; Nymphalidae
Exons: 3
Source: RefSeq, a predicted model, not a curated record
AAGUACGCUGGAAGAGGUGUGCCAUACAAAAUGACAAUUACUUUUUGUGUCGAUUCGAAGCACCCCACUCGAUGGU